GUGUGUGCCUGUAAUCCCAGCUACUUGGGAGGCUGAGGCAGGAGAAUCGCUUGAACCUGGGAGUCGGAGGUUGCAGUAAGCUGAGAUUGCGCCACUGCACUUCAGCCUAGUGGCAGAGCAAGACUCCGUCUCAAAAAAACAAACAAAAAAAAACAAAACCAAAGGUUCUUUGGACUGGUGGAUAUCCCUACCUUAUACUAUUUCAUAAAUAAUCAUGCACUGGAUAAUUGUCACAACUUUGAAGUUACUCUAAGAAUUAUGAUGGUGGAGCUGAGUCACACUUUUUAUUACAGAGAAUUCUGCCCAGGCCCUUUGCAGUGUCCUAGGGCACGCUUACUUCCAGGCUUUAGGAGUGAGAGUUCAGUGGCUUAAGUGAGGAGUACACAGGACCUGCACACCUGACCUCUGUCAAGGACUAGGCAUUGAGCUGGGAGAUACGAAGAUCAACAGGAUCAGAGCUUUGCCUUCAAGGAGCCACACAAAAGGGAGUGGGUCCAUUCUGUUCUGCCUCAGUAGAAACCAUACCUGUUUGCCAUUAUGAGUUACAGAUGACAGAAUGGUCCUCAGUGUCUUGAAGCCCAUUGCGAUGUCCAAUAGAACACAACAGUUCCCUAUUCUCCAGAGACCACCCAAGUUGGUGAUAAGGAAAUGGAGACCUCCCCACUAUUCACUGACCCCUCAGAAGAAUAACCCCAGCAAAUGCUGCCUCUCCCCCAACAGGGUGGCAGUAUUUAAAAAAAAAAAAAUGGGUUUUUUUUUUUUUUUUUUUUUGCUUGUUUUUGGUUUGUUAAAGCAGUUUCUUUGUCUUAAACAUUUAAAUGCCACUUGAAAGCAAAAACAAAUGCUGGUGUUACAGAGUAAACUGCUAAUAUUUUAUCUCUGGGGGAUGAAAAUAACAAUUAUUUUGACUUUCUUCCUUGUACGUUGCUACUUGAUUUUUUUAUGCACUGCAUUUAAAUUGAAAAUAAAACAAAAAAUCAAGCCAUGCUCUCUCUGCCACA
RNAcentral lists this non-coding RNA (1001 nucleotides) under Pongo abelii (Sumatran orangutan). Lineage: Eukaryota; Metazoa; Chordata; Mammalia; Primates; Hominidae. The record is from RNAcentral.